Syngnathus acus (greater pipefish) is the source of this 563-nucleotide long non-coding RNA. RefSeq lists it as uncharacterized. Lineage: Eukaryota; Metazoa; Chordata; Actinopteri; Syngnathiformes; Syngnathidae. The record is from RefSeq and is a predicted model, not a curated record. The transcript has 3 exons.
CUCAGAGCCGCUUUGUGCCGGGCCAGCGCCGACGCGUGGUGGGCAGCAGCCUGUGCGUCGCCGGCCUCCACCGCCUUGACGAGCUCCAAGCAAAGCUCCUCUGAAGCAAAUUAUAAGAAGUGGCCAUGUUUGCAACUGCAGACAAAAGAAGUCACAAGUGCACGUCGAUGUACAUGAACAUCACAGAGAAAGAGAAAACGGACCCCGUUGGGCCUCUCGCAGCGACGACAUGACCACGGUGGCCCACUCCUCUGCCUCGCGAUCACAGCGGAAGGAAAAGCGGAUAAAGUCGUGAGGCGGCGCCGUCAGACGCAUCUCAUGGCAGCGCGCCGACUUCACCUCGUAGUGCACCGAGCGCAGGUCGAACUCUACCAACUGGACGGGAAGAAAAAGUGUGUUAGUGUGUUCUCCUGCCCUCUACAGGGCCAAUCGAAACUCUCCGGCCCGGCUCGGAUCCAUGCUGAGCUGGAGUCGCAGAGCCUCGCUGUCUGCUCCGGGCAGGCACAAGGGACGAAUACCGGAAUGGGACACCGACACGCGGACGGACAUUAAGACUGUGCUAC